CCUCUUGCUUGUUUUCAGGGCAACAGCUAACUGACUAUUACUUUGAAUGUUCUUAACCAAAAUAAGAAGUCUAUAGCCUGCCAUUCUUUGCCUGUUCUGUCGUAACUGCUUCACUGAGCUGGUGUUAGUAUGGAACACCAGGCAUGCACACCAGAUUCUAAUUGUAUUUUCUUUUCUCUCCCUUCCCAUAUGCAUUGGUGAAGCUUCUUGAAGGGUAUGAACAACAAAGGAGAAAUCUUACACCAAGAAGCCAGCAACUGUUGGACAGCCCUGUACUGCGCAGUUAUGAUGAAUAUGAAACAGCAGAUGAUGUGACUGAUGUGGAAUCUGAAGUGACUGACGUAGAGUCUGAAGUGACUGAUGUGGAAUCUGAAGUGACUGACGUAGAAUCUGAAGUGACUGACGUAGAAUCUGAAGUGACUGAUGUAGAGUCUGAAGUGACUGAUGCAGAGUCUGAAGUGACUGAUGCAGAGUCUGAAGUGAUUGACAUAGAGUAUGCAGUGGCUGACACAGAGUAUGCACCGGCUGAUGUAGCGCCUGAAGUACGGAGAUCAUUGGACGAGGAACCUGCAAUUUCAGAGGAAUGGCAACGAGCUGUAAGGUGCCCGAUCUGCAUGGAUUUUUUUUCACAGAUUAUACGAAGUGUCCGACAGGUUGUGUCAACCCAGUGUGGCCAUCUCUUCUGCAGUCGGUGCAUCGCUGUUGCCCUUGAGAAUUCCAGGGCUUGCCCAACCUGCAGAACAGAACUCCCUCCCAGAGACUAUCAUCCCGUUUAUUUCUGAGUAUUUCUGUUUCUCAGGACAGAAGUAUCCCCCCCAGUCAGAUGGAUUUUCGGGGGUAGGUGGCAGAAA
Molecule: long non-coding RNA, 851 nt
Organism: Pseudopipra pipra
Lineage: Eukaryota; Metazoa; Chordata; Aves; Passeriformes; Pipridae
Exons: 4
Source: RefSeq, a predicted model, not a curated record